RNAcentral lists this non-coding RNA (31 nucleotides) under Homo sapiens (human). The record is from RNAcentral. Lineage: Eukaryota; Metazoa; Chordata; Mammalia; Primates; Hominidae.
UAGGGAACCAGGCCCUAACAGAAGUCCAAUA